AACGAACGCUGGCGGCGCGCCUAAUACAUGCAAGUCGAGCGAGAAGGUGUAGCAAUACACUUGUAAAGCGGCGAACGGGUGAGGAAUACAUGGGUAAUCUACCAUCGAGUGGGGAAUAACCAGCCGAAAGGUUGGCUAAUACCGCGUACGCUUCCGAGUCUUCGGGCUUGGAAGGAAAGCCGCACUGUGAGUGCGGCGCUCUUUGAUGAGCUCAUGUCCUAUCAGCUUGUUGGUAGGGUAACGGCCUACCAAGGCUUUGACGGGUAGCUGGUCUGAGAGGACGAUCAGCCACACUGGCACUGCGACACGGGCCAGACUCCUACGGGAGGCAGCAGUAAGGAAUAUUGCGCAAUGGGCGAAAGCCUGACGCAGCGACGCCGCGUGGGGGA
This 389-nucleotide ribosomal RNA is filed under the name uncultured bacterium. Its description in RNAcentral is "bacterial SSU rRNA". It matches the Rfam family "Bacterial small subunit ribosomal RNA", at positions 29 to 408 of the family's 1533-position model. The record is from RNAcentral.